This 253-nucleotide ribosomal RNA is filed under the name uncultured bacterium. RNAcentral's name for it is "partial 16S ribosomal RNA". It matches the Rfam family "Bacterial small subunit ribosomal RNA", at positions 524 to 776 of the family's 1533-position model. The record is from RNAcentral.
UACGUAGGGACCGAGCGUUGUCCGGAAUCAUUGGGCGUAAAGAGCGUGUAGGCGGCCACUUAAGUCCUGCGUGAAAUCUUGCGGCUCAACCGCAAGCGGUCGUGGGAAACUGGGUGGCUAGAGUGCGGGAGAGGAGAGUGGAAUUCCUGGUGUAGCGGUGGAAUGCGCAGAUAUCAGGAGGAACACCGGUGGCGAAGGCGGGUCUCUGGGCCGAUAUCGACGCUGAGGAGCGAAAGCGUGGGGAGCGAACAGG